AGAGUUUGAUCCUGGCUCAGGACGAACGCUGGCGGCGUGCUUAACACAUGCAAGUUGAACGGAGCACAUUAAGUAGCAAUACGAGGUGUGCUUAGUAGCGGUGUGCUUAGUAGCGGACGGGUGAGUAACGCGUGAGUAACCUACCUUUGUGAGGGGGACAACAGCUGGAAACGGCUGCUAAUACCGCAUAAGGCCACGACUCCGAUUGGAGACGAGGUAAAAGAUUUAUCGCACAAAGAUGGACUCGCGUCCCAUUAGCUAGUUGGUGAGGUAACGGCCCACCAAGGCGACGAUGGGUAGCCGACCUGAGAGGGUGAUCGGCCACACUGGAACUGAGACACGGUCCAGACUCCUACGGGAGGCAGCAGUGGGGAAUAUUGGGCAAUGGGCGCAAGCCUGACCCAGCAACGCCGCGUGAGGGAAGAAGGUCUUCGGAUUGUAAACCUCUGUCCUUGGGGACGAAAAAAAUGACGGUACCCAAGGAGGAAGCUCCGGCUAACUACGUGCCAGCAGCCGCGGUAAUACGUAGGGGGCGAGCGUUGUCCGGAAUUACUGGGCGUAAAGGGCGCGUAGGCGGCUCUUUAAGUCAGAUGUGAAAACCCAGGGCUUAACCUUGGGAGUGCAUUUGAAACUGAAGGGCUCGAGUGCAGGAGAGGUAAGUGGAAUUCCUAGUGUAGCGGUGAAAUGCGUAGAUAUUAGGAGGAACACCAGUGGCGAAGGCGACUUACUGGACUGUAACUGACGCUGAGGCGCGAAAGCGUGGGAGCAAACAACAGGAUUAGAUACCCUGGUAGUCCACGCUGUAAACGAUGGAUACUAGGUGUGGGGGAGAUACAACCUCCGUGCCGCAGCUAACGCAAUAAGUAUCCCGCCUGGGGAGUACGGUCGCAAGGCUGAAACUCAAAGGAAUUGACGGGGGCCCGCACAAGCAGCGGAGCAUGUGGUUUAAUUCGAAGCAACGCGAAGAACCUUACCAGAACUUGACAUCGUCUGAAUUACUCUUAAUCGAGGAAGCCUUUCGGGGCAGAUAGACAGGUGGUGCAUGGUUGUCGUCAGCUCGUGUCGUGAGAUGUUGGGUUAAGUCCCGCAACGAGCGCAACCCUUAUAGCUAGUUGCCAGCACGUAAAGGUGGGAACUCUAGCAGAACUGCCGUUGACAAAACGGAGGAAGGUGGGGAUGACGUCAAAUCAUCAUGCCCCUUAUGUCUUGGGCUACACACGUACUACAAUGGCCUGAACAGAGGGAAGCAAAACUGCGAUGGAAUGCGAACCCCUUAAAAGCACCCUCAGUUCGGAUUGUAGGCUGAAGCCCGCCUGCAUGAAGUUGGAGUUGCUUGUAAUCGCAAAUCAGAAUGUUGCGGUGAAUGCGUUCCCGGGCCUUGUACACACCGCCCGUC
RNAcentral lists this ribosomal RNA (1396 nucleotides) under uncultured bacterium. RNAcentral describes it as "bacterial SSU rRNA". It matches the Rfam family "Bacterial small subunit ribosomal RNA". The record is from RNAcentral.